AGUGAACGCUGGCGGUAGGCCUAACACAUGCAAGUCGAACGGCGGCACAGUAAGAGCUUGCUCUUACGGGUGGCGAGUGGCGGACGUGUGAGGAAUACAUCGGAAUCUACUUUUUCGUGGGGGAUAACGUAGGGAAACUUACGCUAAUACCGCAUACGACCUACGGGUGAAAGCAGGGGAUCUUCGGACCUUGCGCGAUUGAAUGAGCCGAUGUCGGAUUAGCUAGUUGGCGGGGUAAAGGCCCACCAAGGCGACGAUCCGUAGCUGGUCUGAGAGUAUGCUACGCCACACUGGAACUGAGACACGGUCCAGACUCCUACGGGAGGCAGCAGUGGGGAAUAUGGGACAAUGGGCGCAAGCCUGAUCCAGCCAUACCGCGUGGGUGAAGAAGGCCUUCGGGUUGUAAAGCCCUUUUGUUGGGAAAGAAAAGCAGCAGGUUAAUACCCCGCUGUUCUGACGGUACCCAAAGAAUAAGCACCGGCUAACUUCGUG
RNAcentral lists this ribosomal RNA (492 nucleotides) under uncultured bacterium. RNAcentral's name for it is "partial 16S ribosomal RNA". It matches the Rfam family "Bacterial small subunit ribosomal RNA", at positions 29 to 507 of the family's 1533-position model. The record is from RNAcentral.